Molecule: long non-coding RNA, 258 nt
Organism: Dreissena polymorpha
Lineage: Eukaryota; Metazoa; Mollusca; Bivalvia; Myida; Dreissenidae
Exons: 2
Source: RefSeq, a predicted model, not a curated record
AUUGCCAUUUUCAUUUAGUCUAUUUUCAGAACCUGAAGGAUGACCAAAAACAAGAUCAAUGGGCAAUCUCAUGUCGUCACCGAACAUCAUUUUAUAUGGGGUGUGACCAGUAGCAGAGUGAACAGAUGACCAGUAUGCCAUCAAGCAGAAAGAGCGAUUCAAUGAUGCGUGACGGGAACGAUCCAACCAAGCAUGACCGGACACAAUAGCAGAAGAUUUUGAUUUUCAUUGUCAUAAUAAAUAAACAACAAACUGCUU